RNAcentral lists this ribosomal RNA (449 nucleotides) under uncultured bacterium. RNAcentral's name for it is "partial 16S ribosomal RNA". It matches the Rfam family "Bacterial small subunit ribosomal RNA", at positions 29 to 523 of the family's 1533-position model. The record is from RNAcentral.
AGCGAACGCUGGCGGCAGGCCUAACACAUGCAAGUCGAACGGAUCCUUCGGGAUUAGUGGCGGACGGGUGAGUAACACGUGGGAACGUGCCCUUUGGUUCGGAACAACUCAGGGAAACUUGAGCUAAUACCGGAUGUGCCCUUCGGGGGAAAGAUUUAUCGCCAUUGGAGCGGCCCGCGUCUGAUUAGCUAGUUGGUGGGGUAAGGGCCCACCAAGGCGACGAUCAGUAGCUGGUCUGAGAGGAUGUUCAGCCACAUUGGGACUGAGACACGGCCCAAACUCCUACGGGAGGCAGCAGUGGGGAAUCUUGCGCAAUGGGCGAAAGCCUGACGCAGCCAUGCCGCGUGAAUGAUGAAGGUCUUAGGAUUGUAAAAUUCUUUCACCGGGGACGAUAAUGACGGUACCCGGAGAAGAAGCACCGGCUAACUUCGUGCCAGCCGCCGCGGUAA